CAUUAUAUAUAUAUAUUAUAAUAUAUAUUGCCAUGACUGCUAAACCAUAAAUAAAUCAAAUAAAAACUUUAGGACAUUAUAUAUAUAUAUAUAUAUAUGUAUUGGUACUUGCCAUAAACGCUUUCAUCAACUUGCUUCAUCUGUUGUUCACAUCGCUGUGUUCAUCAGGCAGACAAGAGGCAGGCAGGAGAGUAGUAUGAAACUUACCGGCUGCAAGUGACCUAAACAGCACAUCUCUGAGCUGUUCUCUUUCCCUCUCUGAUCAAGACACAGCAUAACCAUAAAGAUUUUAUUUUUAAGAAAUGCUCACAACGACUUUGUCUCCUCAGAAGAUAAGAUGGGAAACAGAGUGUCCAGUGACAGUGGGGCAACGACUUUUGUUAUCAGUCGAACUGAGAUUCCAAGUUGAAUUCUGGUCACCUGCUCCCAAAAGUUCACCACCAUCAAAUCACAGCAAAACAAGGGCAAUUGGACGAUCUCUCAGUGAUGGCAGGAACAAGCUACAGCCAAAUAAUUGUCUCUGUCCUCACUCCAAGAAGGGGCCGAGCUGUUUUCCUGGACAUCUGAGAUCGUGUGUGCCUGUGUGGAAGAAGAUUGAGACCAUUUUUGGAACUGAUGAUCCAGUUGUCAGACUUGCGGGCGCUGGUGUAAAUGUCCUGUCACAUCAGCAGGAUGUGGCCAAGAAUAAAUCUGACAGCUUGAUGGAUGAGGAGCUGUACUUCCAAUUUAUUGAGAUGGCGGAGAAAUGCCUGUACGAAGCCCUGAAUGUUUUGUUGGAGGAGUACAGGGGCGACCAGGAGGGACCUGAGCCAAACCCAAAGCUGAAGGAGAACGUCGGGGGGAAAAUAUACCGCAUUAAGAACUUCAUCGCCUUCAUGGCGGUGGGUCACACCAACCUCUCCUCUUUGCUUUUUCUAAACGACACCCCUAGGAUUAGAGGGUGGAUCAGCAGACUCAGGGCAUGCAAAAUGAAGGAGACCACGAUAAAACACUACGUCCUGAGCGUGGCCCAGUUCAUCAGCUACGUGAAGGCCCCGUCGAACUGCCGACUUUCGAGGCAAAUGAUCGUCACCAUGCAUAAAACCAAUCAGGCGUUCGGCCCUGCUCAGGAACGAGCUGGUCGGUGGGCCGGACGCCAGGUUCUUUUUCUUUACCUCCACGCCCAAUCCCUGCAAAAAUUUGAACAGCUACUUCCAGGCGCCGUGGGCGGAGAUGAACUUGCCAGGGUGCCCGACCUUCACCGACAUCCGGAGCUCCAUCGCCACUCAUGCGAGGAACGCGCACACUGCCGACGACAGGCUCAAGAUAUCUCGGUUCAUGUGCCACGACACCAAAAUCGCAGACAGGUUUUACGCAAUAAAUCUGAACCCCAGGCAGGCCUUGGAGCACCGGCGUCUGUUCGAGCGCGCUGGAGGGGCCCGAGCUGUCCCCGGUCAAGCAGGAGCCCAAGCGCAAGCACGCCGGGAGGAAGGCAGCCAAGCCCAGAAAGCGUGCUCGAGAAGAGGAAUCGCCAGCUGACUCGCCCCGCUCCCAGUCCUCUGAAAGCAGCGCCAGUUCAGAGGGAGAAGACGUCGAGCGGAGUCCCAUACGGACUCUGACAUGGAGGAGCAAGCCGAACCCGGCACCAGCGCCACCCAGAUACAGGCCAGCCCCCGAAGGAUGCGGCAGAGGGCUAUGGUGAUUCUGUCGCCGCUGAAAAAGAAGUCCUCCCCUUUCAAAGCUAAAGUAUCAAAGUCCUUCACACCAGAGGGGCUGGCGAAAGCCAGUGAGGCCAGAGAGCGCGUGAAGGCGGUUCUUAAACUCCGCAGCGGUUUCUGCAGGAAGUGACCUUGCUGUGUGACUUGGCCACUGGCUUUCUGAUGGAAGCGAGGAGGUCGAGGUAGGCUUGGCACUUCCUGUAGAAGUCCGGAUCUGCUGCAGCCAAGUUCAGGUGGGUCUUCAAAUACUGAACAAACCGGAUCAUGUUCUUUAUGUAAGAAGAUAAAGUUUCAGCUUCCCUGUAGCCCAUGCCCAUGUAAUGGCCCAUUGACACCUUGAUUGGGGGCUUGUUUAAUACUGCGUUCUGAUUGGCUGGUUUGAAACAGACUCAAGUAUAUCUUGAUAAUUAGAAUUAAUAAACAUUACAUUCAAUGUUGCUACAGAGUUAAUGCUUCUCAAGAUUUGUCUUUAUAGAACAUUUUGGUCAGCAUCCACCGUCUGGGUCAGGCAAACAAAACAGACGAGGGUCAGAGCCAAAAGGACAAGCAGGCAAGGUUAAUCGAAAGGCAAGGGACUUCAUCCUCUGGACGGCAUACGGUAUGUCGAAGAAUGUGAGUUGUGUGCCUGUGUGGAAGAAGAUUGAGACCAUUUUUGGAACUGAUGAUCCAGUUGUCAGAACAAGCUGCUGGAUGACAAUCAGUCAGGCUUGAAAAGUGGACACUUCACCGAAACUUCCCUGCUGUCUGUCGCUAAGACAGGAUUCUGUUGGACCUUUCUGCAGCCUUUGAGACAGUCAAUCAUCAGAUCCUACUCUCCACCCUCUCUUCGCUGGGCAUCGCAGGAACUGUGCUUGACUGGUUUAAUUAAUAUCUCUCAGCCCAACGGAACCACAGUGACUGCUCAUCUUUGCCUUCCUGGCAGACAUCUCGGCCUGGAUGAAGGAACACCGCCUGCAACUUAACCCAGCCAAGACCGAACUGUUCGUUUUAACCCUGCUGUUGAACACAUGACUGUGCAGCUGGGUGCAACUACAGUAUCGCCUUCCAAAACGGAGUCGUAGCAACAUGCAAUUUCUCCAAACACGACAUCGUCUGCGACUACCACGGCAGGGUCAUCCCAGCUGCAGAAGGCAAAUCACAUGCAAGCAAAAAUCCACACCAAUGAUCAGUCCAAAAUAAAAGACACUUUCAUUUGAGUGCACGUUCAACAAACACAUCAUCGACGCCCAGACCUUUCCUUGCGAGUGCCACCCUGGUACAGACACCGUUGGCAGGAGGAUCAACCACUCCACAAAAGCCCCCAACCUGAAGCCCUUUCACUGCAGGUUGCGUGUGAAUGGGGAGGACAAGGACAUCAUCCUCUUCAGGGCACUGCAGGACAUCAGUGUGGGUGUCGAACUACGGUUUGACUAUGGAGUAAAGAGGAAGUCCUUCCGUGGAGAGAUUCUUGUUUUGUGAGCUGGAGUGGCUGGACUUUUGAUUCUUGCUUUAUGGACUAUCAAUGUUACUGAUUUUGCCCUUCUAGCUGCAUUCACCUGUGCAUCAGUUUAACUCACACUAUAAUAGCCUGGUUUUCACACACUCACUCACUGUUCAGUUCUGGUGUCUGGAUCCUGACUCUUCGGUUUCGGGUCUCUGGCCAUUCGCACUUGUCUAGAUGAAACAUACACAGAGGAGCACAUGGCAAGGUAUGGGAACAGAACACAGCUCAAUCAACGACGUGACCUUUUUAUAAAAAAAAAAAACAGGGGUCUUCCCACGACAAACAUAUUACAGUUUUGUGAGUCCCAAGCAAGUCAGAAAGACAUAUUGAAAGGAAAAGAGGGUACGAAAGUUUGUGCACAGUAUGGUCUAAAGACCUUGAGAGUACCUGCAGUUUCCUGGCAGUACCCCCUUCAUGCCCGCUCUGAUGCCCUAAAAGAUACCCAAUAUAUGUGCAUGAAAAAUCAAGAAUUAGAGGGCGGGAGAAGAUUUCUGGGUCCUAAUAUCCAUUUCUGUGAUUUGAUGGUCAUAAAUAAGCUAAUGAGUUGGGUUCAUGGACCUUAAAGAGAGAGAAAGAGUUACAUGAUGUGUUUGUUACGUUACACAGAGCUGACCAUAUACAAUAACAUAAUGUAUUCUAUGUAAAGCACUUUGAAUUACUAUAUAAUGUGCUAGAAAUAAACGUACCUUGCCCUACAAAUAAGGCAAGACUUCACAGUGAGUGAGUGUGUGAAAACCACUAUUAGCUAACAGAUGCAGGCAUGAUGGAUACACACACAAACACUAACUAGGACUAUUAAAUUAAAGAGCUUAUUUUCAGCUAAAUGGAAAUGACGUCGGCACAAAUAGUAAAUAUUGCAUGUCUAUAUAUGAAAACAGUGGCAGGAAAUGCUAAUGAGUUGGGUUCAUGGACCUUAAAGAGAGAGAAAGACACGUUUAUUAGUUACAUGAUGUGUUUGUUACGUUACACAGAGCUGACCAUAUAUAAUAACAUAAUGUAUUCUAUGUAAAGCACUUUGAAUUACUAUAUAGUGUAUGAAAUGUGCUAGAAAUAAACGUACCUUGCCCUACAAAUAAGGCAAGACUUCACAGUUUGUGUUAAUCAAUAAU
RNA transcript from Xyrauchen texanus (razorback sucker), 4289 nucleotides. RefSeq lists it as uncharacterized. The transcript is spliced from 18 exons. NCBI's taxonomy places the organism in Eukaryota, Metazoa, Chordata, Actinopteri, Cypriniformes, Catostomidae. The record is from RefSeq and is a predicted model, not a curated record.